RNAcentral lists this long non-coding RNA (302 nucleotides) under Brassica napus (rape). Its description in RNAcentral is "long non-coding RNA (BNAP_LNC023885)". Lineage: Eukaryota; Viridiplantae; Streptophyta; Magnoliopsida; Brassicales; Brassicaceae. The record is from RNAcentral.
UAUUCAGAUCACUUCCUAAAGAAAGAAAGAACUAGAGACACGAAAGUCGUCUUAAAACCGAAUCGUUUCUAGCAAUUUUCUUAAAACCGACAUAUUCCAAGUCACAGUCCCAGGGUCGUCUUUAAGAUCGACCCGGAUUGUCGUUCAUUCCAAUCCUCGGAAGAAGAAACGUAUACUAUACUCGUAUACUCCCAAACUUCAAAAACUUUUGAUUCGUCAUCAAGAAAACGCUGUCGUCAAAGCAAACUCUCGCAGCAAUAGGCAGAAAAAUAUUUAGGCAAUACGAUGCCUCCAUAAAAUCG